Molecule: ribosomal RNA, 425 nt
Filed under: uncultured bacterium
Lineage: Bacteria
Description: bacterial SSU rRNA
Rfam family: Bacterial small subunit ribosomal RNA
Source: RNAcentral
UCCUACGGGAGGGAGCAGUAGGGAAUCCUCCGCAAUGGCCGCAUGUUCGAUAGGCACCACCGCGGAGUUAUGACCCCCCUCGGAUCCUUAAGCUUUGUCGCUUGUGAGAACUAGCACGAGAGUCUCCGGGGCCUUAUGACGGUAUCAAACGAGAAAGCCCCGGCUAACUACGUGCCAGCAGCCGCGGUAAUACGUAGGUGGCAAGCGUUGUCCGGAUUUAUUGGGCGCAAAGGGCGCGCAGGCGGGUUCUUCAGUCCGAUGUGAAGGCCCGCAGUUAGAAACCAAACGUGCAUUCCCCACGCCCCCACCCCCCCCCGAAGAGGAGAAUGGAAUUUACAGUGUAGCGGGGAAAUGCGUAGAGAUAUGGAAGAACACCAGUGGCGAAGGCGGCUGUCUGGUCUGUAACUAACGCGAAGGAACGCAAG